CCCGCCCGCUCGCGCCCUUCCCGCCCGCUCGCGCCCUUCCCGCCCGCUCGCGCCCUUCCCGCCCGCUCGCGCCCUUCCCGCCCGCGCCGCCUCAGCCGCUGAGGCGCUUCCCUCAGGGCGCAAAGGGCGGCCCGGCUGGAUUCCCUGUCGGGAAAGCUGGGACGAGCCAACUCCCUGCCCCCGCGCCUCCCUGCGAAGGGCUCAAUCUGGGGGCUGAGGCGAGGAAACCUUGCCCGAGGGUGCGCAGGGCUGACCUGAGGGGAAAGCCAUGAUCCCGGAGGCCCCAGGCUGCGACUGCGGCCCCCCCAGGGGCGGGUGCGGCUCCGCUCCCCUUACCGACGGGCUCCGGGUCGCCUGACCUUGGACCUCAUGGCUUUACUCCUUCCGGGCCACAGCACUUCCCACGGAAUACAGGCCGUCCUACAGGUGGAGACCCUUUGCCUGAGGGUCUCUCAGGCAAUGUCCUACAGGCCCGUUAUCACUGACCAGACUGAUCAUGCCACUUACUGAACCAGUAGAGGAGCCUCUCACUGACCUACACUGACCAGUGUAAGAGCCUCUCUCCUUUUACCCUCAUUUUACUUCAUGGGCAGGGGAAAAAAGCCCUCCACAUGGUUUAUCGGGUCAUUUCUCCUCUGCAGCUCCACAUGUCUUCUCCACUGAGCAUCUCCACACCACUCGCGUGAGACGCUCUCCAACCCACGGCGAGAGGAGCCUCUCCCACCUGCCACCAAAAGGUUUGUCAGGCACAGGGAGGAAAGGCCUGCUCACCCCAUCCAGCACAGAGUCAGCUUCCCAGUAAAGCAUCGCACGUCUCUUGCAGUGCAAUGGUCAGAGUCUCACAGAGAGCAGCCCUGGUUUUUCCUGUUCUGCUGGCCACUAGGCUGCUGGGAAAACACCUCCUGGGCUCCUGUCCAGGCUGGCUGUCGCUCCUCUAUUGACUCUUAUGUGAAGAACUUGUCUGCCUUUUCUUGACCUCAGAGGGGGAUGGGGAUGUUUUUGCCUGCCAGGACCUUUCCGUGAGGCACUUCCCAUCAUUUCUGCCCACUCCAGCCACAAAGAUGACAUGAUGUCAGUAGCACACCCAACCCACUACAUGCUGAUUCUGCUGAGUCUGCUCUAUGUAGCCUGAGAUAUGACCCAUAUUUUGACUGUCUAAUAAAGAUGGCUCAAUUAAAAACCA
RNAcentral lists this long non-coding RNA (1183 nucleotides) under Calidris pugnax (ruff). Its description in RNAcentral is "lncRNA (ENSCPUG00000007705.1)". The record is from RNAcentral. Lineage: Eukaryota; Metazoa; Chordata; Aves; Charadriiformes; Scolopacidae.